This 1529-nucleotide long non-coding RNA is filed under the name Homo sapiens (human). Its description in RNAcentral is "non-protein coding lnc-CHRM4-4:1". The record is from RNAcentral. Lineage: Eukaryota; Metazoa; Chordata; Mammalia; Primates; Hominidae.
GCUUUCUCUUUUGGGAAAAUAAAAACCAAAUACUUUCAAUGGAUCAGCUUCCAAUAUCCCUGGUAUUGAUUUGUCAUUUAAUGCUCGGCAGCCAAUUCUACCAAGAUAUAAAAACCAUCAUAGACUUUUGUUUCUGGCUUGUGAAGUUCCCAGUGGUCCACUUAAAAGCCAAGUGUUGCCUUAACUUCGGUUUCAGGGCCAGUUUGAAGAUUAUCUCAUUGAUUUGAAGAUAAUCCAAAGGGAGAAUUCAGAAAAUAUCCCAAAUCAAGCUCUCAAAGGUUCAUUUAUUUUGUGGAGUUGGUUAAGCCGCUCAUUAACUGCUCUGUCCAGCCAGUGCCCUUUGGCUUAUUAUUCUUUUGAUGUACUGGAAACUAAAACAUGUGAAGCUCCUUUCCUCUUCUCUUGUAGGAAGCAGUGAAAUGUAGUGGAAAGAUCUAGGACUUCAAAGUCCAAUCUUCCUUGAAUCCUGCCUUAACCACUUACUAGUUAUGUGACCAUGGUAUUUACCUCUCUGGUCUUUCGUCCGCUUCUCUGUAAAAUAGUAAUAAUACUUCGUGGCCUAGCCAGAAGAAUUAAAUGGGAUAACAUAUCAAUAACCUUUGUAUUGGAACCUAGCAGAUACUUAAUAAAUGGCAGUUACUACUAUUGCAUGGACUGUUAACAGUCCAUAAAGAAAACACCCAGACUUUGUAUUCAAAUGACCUAACAUAGGAUUACGUUUUCUAAUAUUCUUCACCAUUGACAGUCUGUAAAAGAAGGUACUGUCUUUUUCUUGUGCAUUUUUUUUUCUUUUACCUGUCACUGAUUUUUCCACAUGGAAGACCUAAACAGAUUUCAUUUGAAGAUAACCAUUUGCCAAAUGAAAUUGGUGGGGGAAUUUUUCUUCCUUUAAGACCUCCUCCCACAGCAGGCGUCUGGAUAACAAGUAAAAUGAUAAAUAAUGGACAAUGGUGACAGAUCCAGGCACCGAGCUCCACGCAAUGCCCGGAUGUCUGCACCUUCGCUUGGACGCUUUGUCCCAAGGCGUUUCUUGCUGCCUGAGUACUUGCCUUAUGCUGGGAUUUUUCAUGAACGUGGACAGCCUGGCUUGGCUACUCACUCUUCUGUUAACAGGGUCCUGGCAGUAAUCAUAUGAGAUAGGUGCGAUUACCUAAUUAACAGUGGAGGAAACUGAAUCCCAGAGGGCUAACUUGCCCAGAGUAAUGCAGCUAAGAAGUAGAAGAAUGGAGCCAGUAGUCUCUAAACCACCUUCCCGAUCCGCCUCCUCGUAGUUGUUUUAAAGGACAAAACAUUAAAAUGUCAUUCUUUUUCUUAGGACUUUAUAAGAGGGAGAGAGCUCCCAGGGAACUUCAGUGUUUUUCUUGUUUGUUUUAAUUAUUCUAUUUAAAUGGUUCCUAGACAUAGGUUUUUAUGAUCCAGUGGUGCUUGCUGAGGAAAAUCUUAUUAUGUAACCGCCCUUUUCCUGAGCCUUCUUGCCCUCCUGGAUACAGAUGUUUUGCUUUUUAUUAAACUUACUUGUGAUCAUGUAA